Molecule: ribosomal RNA, 158 nt
Filed under: basidiomycete from Bashania fargesii
Lineage: Eukaryota; Fungi; Basidiomycota
Description: 5.8S ribosomal RNA
Rfam family: 5.8S ribosomal RNA (bases 1-92)
About the family: 5.8S ribosomal RNA (5.8S rRNA) is a component of the large subunit of the eukaryotic ribosome. It is transcribed by RNA polymerase I as part of the 45S precursor that also contains 18S and 28S rRNA.
Source: RNAcentral
GUAAUGUGAAUUGCAGAAUUCAGUGAAUCAUCGAAUCUUUGAACGCACCUUGGCUCCUUGGUAUUCCUUGGAGCAUGCCUGUUUGAGAGUCUUGAAUAUCUCUGCUUUUAUAUUUUUUAAUUAAGAUAUAACAAGUCAGGUCCUUGGGUCUGCUUGCG